RNAcentral lists this ribosomal RNA (197 nucleotides) under uncultured bacterium. RNAcentral describes it as "partial 16S ribosomal RNA". It matches the Rfam family "Bacterial small subunit ribosomal RNA", at positions 329 to 539 of the family's 1533-position model. The record is from RNAcentral.
AGCUCGACACCUACUGGAGGCAGCAGUGGGGAAUAUUGCACAAUGGGGGAAACCCUGAUGCAGCGACGCCGCGUGAGUGAAGAAGUAUUUCGGUAUGUAAAGCUCUAUCAGCAGGGAAGAAGAUGACGGUACCUGAGUAAGAAGCCCCGGCUAACUACGUGUCAGCAGCCGCGGUAAUCUGAGCGGGCUGGCAAGGC